RNAcentral lists this ribosomal RNA (716 nucleotides) under uncultured bacterium. RNAcentral's name for it is "bacterial SSU rRNA". It matches the Rfam family "Bacterial small subunit ribosomal RNA", at positions 777 to 1500 of the family's 1533-position model. The record is from RNAcentral.
AUUAGAUACCCUGGGUAGUCCACGCAGUAAACGAUGAGCGCUAACUGUCCGGGCCAAGCGAGGCCUGGGUGGUACAGUGAAAACGUUAAGCGCUCCACCUGGGGAGUACGCCGGCAACGGUGAAACUCAAAGGAAUUGACGGGGGCCCGCACAAGCGGAGGAACAUGUGGUUUAAUUCGAUGAUACGCGAGGAACCUUACCCGGGCUCAAACGUAAGCGGAAUAACGGUGAAAGCCGUUAGCUAUUUAUAGCCGCUUACGAGGUGCUGCAUGGUUGUCGUCAGCUCGUGCCGUGAGGUGUCGGCUUAAGUGCCAUAACGAGCGCAACCCCCAUCGCCAGUCGCUAACAAGUAACGUUGAGGACUCUGGCGAGACUGCCGGCGCAAGCUGCGAGGAAGGCGGGGAUGACGUCAAAUCAGCACGGCCCUUACGUCCGGGGCGACACACGUGUUACAAUGGCAGGUACAGAGAGAAGCCAUCCCGCGAGGGAGAGCGGAACUUGAAAGCCUGUCUCAGUUCGGAUUGGAGUCUGCAACCCGACUCCAUGAAGCUGGAUUCGCUAGUAAUCGCGCAUCAGCCACGGCGCGGUGAAUACGUUCCCGGGCCUUGUACACACCGCCCGUCAAGCCAUGGGAGCCGGGGGUGCCUGAAGCGCGUGACCGCAAGGAGCGUUCUAAGGCGAAACCGGUGACUGGGGCUAAGUCGUAACAAGGUACC